UUGGAGGGCAAGUCUGGUGCCAGCAGCCGCGGUAAUUCCAGCUCCAAUAGCGUAUAUUAAAGUUGCUGCAGUUAAAAAGCUCGUAGUUGAAUUUCGGGACCAAUAUGUCGGUCGUGCCUCGGUACGUACUGGCAUCGUUGGUUUCUUCCUUCUGACGAACCAUGAUGUCAUUCAUUUGGUGUCGUGGGGAAUCAGGACUGUUACUUUGAAAAAAUUAGAGUGUUUAAAGCAGGCUCACGCUUGAAUACAUUAGCAUGGAAUAAUGAAAUAGGACGUUUGAUUCUAUUUUGUUGGUUUCUAGGAUCGACGUAAUGAUUAAUAGGGAUAGUUGGGGGCAUUAGUAUUCAAUUGUCAGAGGUGAAAUUCUUGGAUUUAUUGAAGACUAACUACUGCGAAAGCAUUUACCAAGGAUGUUUUCAUUAAUCAAGAACGAAAGUUAGGGGAUCGAAGACGAUCAGAUACCGUCGUAGUCUUAACCAUAAACUAUGCCGACUAGGGAUCGGAUGAUGUUAAUUUUUUAAUGACUCAUUCGGCGCCUUACGGGAAACCAAAGUGUUUGGGUUC
This 564-nucleotide ribosomal RNA is filed under the name uncultured Glomeromycotina. RNAcentral's name for it is "SSU rRNA". It matches the Rfam family "Eukaryotic small subunit ribosomal RNA", at positions 548 to 1114 of the family's 1831-position model. Lineage: Eukaryota; Fungi; Glomeromycota. The record is from RNAcentral.